This is a non-coding RNA of Gossypium hirsutum (cotton), 107 nucleotides long. Lineage: Eukaryota; Viridiplantae; Streptophyta; Magnoliopsida; Malvales; Malvaceae. The record is from Rfam.
AAUCCAUGCAUUAGACAUCUUCGAAUUAAGUUUUUAAAUCAUACCCAAGCUUUAUAUAGUGUUUCAUCGUCUGAUUGACAAAAAGAUGUGAUGUCAUUUCUAAGCUU